Lolium rigidum is the source of this 924-nucleotide long non-coding RNA. RefSeq lists it as uncharacterized. The record is from RefSeq and is a predicted model, not a curated record. Lineage: Eukaryota; Viridiplantae; Streptophyta; Magnoliopsida; Poales; Poaceae. The transcript has 3 exons.
GACGCCCAGGCAAAAGAUCUUCCUGGUGACUCCGUGACGACGAGUCGUGGUGUGCGCGAGCGUAGCAGUUAUUCCGGCAACUACCGGCGCGGGAGCUCCAGCGUGCAGGUCUUAGUACAAAUGCAAGUGGCAUUUCCGGCCAGCAGCGAGUCCAGCUGCCUUCUACGUCGCCUCAUCCUGUAUGAAUUGGAUUUCUUCAUCGUCAACUGCUGAGGUAUUGUGCUUAACACAACAUUUUCAGAAACAGCCAUCGUUACUCUAGGCAGCAUCCAGUUUGCUGGCCUGACGGUUAGCCGAUUUUCAAAUUGGAUUAACUGUGCGAAUUGAGAUGGCACGAAGCUGACGCAAUUUAAAGUUUAGGAUGCAACAAGGGUGGCACUAGCACUGCCGAAGUAAAGAAGAACAAGCCCCCUCCUGUAUAGUUUCGGUGAGCUCAGAUAAUGAAAACAUUCGACCUUUACAGAACAUUUUUCAUUCAGUAAAAAUAUGUGAAUUGAGGGCUAUAUUGGUUCUUUCCUAUACGUAUAGUAUUGUUUUUAUGCAUGACAGUCGUUUUAAAGGAAUGCCUAAUGAUAUGCCUAGGUGUUAUUUUUCCUCAACUGAACUAUUUGUAGCUUCAGUUAAGUUUUGAUUUGUCCCUACAUCAUGUGCAUUCAUGUUCAUAUAGAAAUUGUAUUAUCAUGUCCAUCCACAGUAUGGUGCUUUGGUAAGGGUUUAGGAAGCUUCUACUGGUUGUUUUUUGAUUCAGACAUGGGGCAUAAAAGUAACAUCGCAUGUCUUACGGCUAAAUGAUAUGUAUCUUGGAUGCAAUUCAGUCGUCGAAAAGCCGAGGAGAGGUCUAAAUAUUUUAUAACUUCUGUUUUCCUUUGUAUUGGUGCAUUAUUCACGAUUAGUCAAUUAAAUACCACACCCUUUUAAACUAAA